GACGAACGCUGGCGGCGUGCCUAAUACAUGCAAGUCGAACGGACAGGCCCUGCUCUUGUGGGGUGCUCGAUUGGCGAACGGGUGAGUAACACGUGAGUAUCCUGCCCUUGACUUUGGGAUAUCUUUUGGAAACUGGGGCUAAUAUAGGAUAGGAGCUCCUGCUGCAUGGUGGGGGUUCGAAAGUUUCGGCGGUUGGGGCUGGUCUCGCGGCUUCUGAGCUUGUUGGUAAGGUAGUGGCUUACCAAGGCUUCGACGGGUAGCCGGCCUGGGAGGGUGACCGGCCCAUUAGGACUAAGAUACGGCCCAGACUCCAACUGGAGGCAACAGUGGAGAAUAUUGCACAGUGAGCGGGAGCCUGUGACAGCAGCGCCGCGUGCGGGAUGACGGCCUUCGGGUUGAAAACCACUUUCGCCUUAAACAAGGCGGGAGUGACGGUAAUGAGUAAAAAAGCACCGGCUAACUACGUG
RNAcentral lists this ribosomal RNA (467 nucleotides) under uncultured bacterium. RNAcentral's name for it is "partial 16S ribosomal RNA". It matches the Rfam family "Bacterial small subunit ribosomal RNA", at positions 28 to 507 of the family's 1533-position model. The record is from RNAcentral.